UGCAGCAAAAAAGCCUAGAACCUGGGUCCUAGAUUAUAUCUAGACUAUGCGGCAGGUGGCAAGAGUGAUCGUGUUCCUGGUCCUGGGUUCUCUGAGCCUUGCUAAGACCACCCAGCCCAUCGCCAUGGAAUCAUAUGAAGGACAAGAAGUGAACAUACCCUGUAGCCACACAGACAUUGCUACAAGUGAGACUAUCUUCUGGUACCAACAGUUCCCCAACCAGGGACCACGAUUUAUUAUUCAAGGAUAUAAGACAAAUGUGACAAAUGAAGUGGCAUCUCUGUUUAUCCCUGCUGACAGAAAGUCGAGCACCCUGAGCCUGUCCCGGGCUGCCCUGAGUGACAGUGCUGUGUACUACUGCAUCCUGGAUGACACACAGAAUCUCGAUGUUAAUCACUUUGGAAGAAAGAAAGUAAAAGCCAUUGAGGAUGGUGGAAGAGGCACUGGGUUUUUACUCCCUACUGAUCUUGAGGGUUCAGUUGAACUUGGAGGGGAGCCCCACUCUGAGCAGCUGCUGCCCUGCUAUUGGCUGCUCCCCUGGGGACAGUCCCAGCUGAGAGCUGCUGGUGUGGGCUCUGGCAAUUGCUGCUGGGCUCUUCCCAGCUCAGAUGUGGAAAAGAGCCUAGGACCUGCGUCCUAG
Microcebus murinus (gray mouse lemur) is the source of this 640-nucleotide non-coding RNA. The record is from the annotation of a RefSeq genome assembly. Lineage: Eukaryota; Metazoa; Chordata; Mammalia; Primates; Cheirogaleidae.